RNAcentral lists this antisense RNA (75 nucleotides) under Streptomyces cellostaticus. Its description in RNAcentral is "ASpks TB sRNA". It matches the Rfam family "ASpks TB sRNA". The record is from Rfam by way of RNAcentral. Lineage: Bacteria; Bacillati; Actinomycetota; Actinomycetes; Kitasatosporales; Streptomycetaceae.
CUUCACCGAACCCAGCCACAGCGGCCGGUCCGCCGGGCGUGCGCCUCCGUAGGCGGAGAUGACGGACUGCGCUUC